RNAcentral lists this ribosomal RNA (417 nucleotides) under uncultured bacterium. RNAcentral's name for it is "bacterial SSU rRNA". It matches the Rfam family "Bacterial small subunit ribosomal RNA", at positions 29 to 447 of the family's 1533-position model. The record is from RNAcentral.
AUUGAACGCUGGCGGCGUGCUUAACACAUGCAAGUCGAGCGGUAACAGGCGUAGCAAUACGUGCUGACGAGCGGCGAACGGGUGCGUAAUACAUGGGAAUCUGCCCUUUAGUGGGGAAUAACCCGGCGAAAGCCGGGCUAAUGCCGCAUGAGAUCUUCGGAUGAAAGCGGGGGAUCGUAAGACCUCGCGCUGAUGGAUGAGCCCAUGUCGGAUUAGCAGUUGGUGAGGUAACGGCUCACCAAGGCGACGAUCCGUAGCUGGUCUGAGAGGACGGCCAGCCACACUGGGACUGAGACACGGCCCAGACUCCUACGGGAGGCAGCAGUGGGGAAUAUUGGACAAUGGGGAAACCCUGAUCCAGCGACGCCGCGUGUGUGAAGAAGGCCUGCGGGUUGUAGAGCACUUUCGGUGGGAACG